Long non-coding RNA from Mesocricetus auratus (golden hamster), 536 nucleotides. RefSeq lists it as uncharacterized. The transcript has 2 exons. Lineage: Eukaryota; Metazoa; Chordata; Mammalia; Rodentia; Cricetidae. The record is from RefSeq and is a predicted model, not a curated record.
AAAAGGAAACUUCCCUGUGGCUAAGGUCUAGUUCUGGCAUUACCCUGUUGUGUGUAGUCAAGUCUAACACAAACACAUCUUCAGCUGCGGAACACUGGCAUCCUGGCUACGCCGCCAAGUCAGGGUAUGGAGGAGCACACCCAGCUUGAAUGGAGUCUUGAAAGGAACAGAGUGGAACAACAGGAAAUCAAGUUGGCUGAAGAAAACAGCUAUGAAGCCAAAAGGGAAGGGGUAGAUCUGGCGAACUCUCUUGGUUCAUUACAUCAUUUAUUCAUUUGUUUUGUGGGAAGAUCAAGGUGGGCACAUGGAUUUGUGUGUCUGCACAGGCGAGUGGACAGCUACGCAGAGCUGGUUCUCUCCUGCCCAUCGUGUGGGAUCGGGGGAUGGAAUUUAGGCUGUCAGUCUUGGUGGCAAACAUCUUGACCUGGCGAACCAUCUUGCCCAGGCCUUUUUGCCCAUUCUCAAAUCAAACUGUUUGAUUCCCUUCCUGUGGAGUUUUAAGAGUUCUGUAAACUUAAUAAAAAUUUCAAAAACUA